This 511-nucleotide ribosomal RNA is filed under the name uncultured bacterium. Its description in RNAcentral is "bacterial SSU rRNA". It matches the Rfam family "Bacterial small subunit ribosomal RNA", at positions 8 to 518 of the family's 1533-position model. The record is from RNAcentral.
AGGGUUCGAUUCCGGCUCAGGAUGAACGCUGGCGGCGUGCCUAAUACAUGCAAGUGAAACGGGUAUCUUCGGAUACCAGUCGCGGACGGGUGAGUAAUACAUAGGCAACCUGCCUUUAUGAGGGGGAUAACCGAGGGAAACUUUGGCUAAUACCGCAUGAAGACUCUAAGGCAUCUUAGAGGGAUAAAAGUUGGGAAACAACGCAUGAAGAUGGGCUUAUGGCGCAUUAGCUAGUUGGUGAGAUAGAAGCCCACCAAGGUAAUGAUGCGUAGCCGACCUGAGAGGGUGAACGGCCACAUUGGGACUGAGACACGGCCCAAACUCCUACGGGAGGCAGCAGUAGGGAAUUUUCGGCAAUGGGGGGAACCCUGACCGAGCAACGCCGCGUGAAGGAAGAAGGUUUUCGGAUUGUAAACUUCUGUUAUAAGGGAAGAACGGAUUGGAUAGGGAAUGAUCUGAUAGUGACGGUACCUUAUUAGAAAGCCACGGCUAACUACGUGCCAGCCGCUGC